GUAGGUGAACCUGCGGAAGGAUCAUUACCACGUAUAAAAAUUUAUUCGAUUAAACGUGAACGAGAUAGUUAUUUGAAUUGAGAGUAAAAUCUCAAGUGUUUAGAAUAAAAAUCAUGAGAAAACGAGAUUAGUCAAUAUGUUAGGGUACAUGUUGAUGUGGCUCAAUAUGUUAGGGUACAUGUUGAUGCGGGCUCAAGUAUUUCAUGGUUUGAAUUUUAUUACAUAAAAUAAUUAUCCAAUAAUUUUUUUA
RNAcentral lists this unclassified non-coding RNA (250 nucleotides) under plant metagenome. RNAcentral describes it as "partial contains small subunit ribosomal RNA, internal transcribed spacer 1, and 5.8S ribosomal RNA". The record is from RNAcentral.